RNAcentral lists this small RNA (125 nucleotides) under Marmota monax (woodchuck). Lineage: Eukaryota; Metazoa; Chordata; Mammalia; Rodentia; Sciuridae. The record is from RNAcentral.
GCUGGGCGUGGUGGAGCAUGCCUGUAAUCCCAGCAGCUCAGGAGGCUGAGACAGAAGAACUGCCGGUUCAAAGCCAGCCUUAGCAAUGGUGAGGUGCUAAGCAACUCAGUGAGACCCUGUCUCUA